GACAGAGGAGGCAAGCGUUGUUCGGAUUCACUGGGCUUAAAGCGCGUGUAGGCGGCCCGGCAAGUGUCGUGUGAAAUCCCACGGCUCAACCGUGGAACGGCACGGCAAACUGCCGGGCUUGAGGUCGGUAGGGGUGCCUGGAACUCCAGGUGGAGCGGUGAAAUGCGUAGAUAUCUGGAGGAACGCCGGAGGCGAAAGCGGGGCACUGGGCCGAUGCUGACGCUGAGACGCGAAAGCGUGGGGAGCAAACAGG
This 253-nucleotide ribosomal RNA is filed under the name uncultured bacterium. Its description in RNAcentral is "partial 16S ribosomal RNA". It matches the Rfam family "Bacterial small subunit ribosomal RNA", at positions 524 to 776 of the family's 1533-position model. The record is from RNAcentral.